GGCGGUGUAGCUCAGCUGGCUAGAGCAUACGGUUCAUACCCGUAAGGUCGGGGGUUCGAUCCCCUCUGCCGCCACCA
Molecule: transfer RNA, 77 nt
Filed under: Gemella sp. zg-570
Lineage: Bacteria; Bacillati; Bacillota; Bacilli; Caryophanales; Gemellaceae
Also listed under: 1 other name
Description: tRNA-Met
Rfam family: tRNA
About the family: Transfer RNA (tRNA) molecules are approximately 80 nucleotides in length. Their secondary structure includes four short double-helical elements and three loops (D, anti-codon, and T loops).
Source: RNAcentral